CAGUAGCCACGGUAAUACGUAGGUCCCGAGCGUUGUCCGGAUUUAUUGGGCGUAAAGCGAGCGCAGGCGGUUAGAUAAGUCUGAAGUUAAAGGCUGUGGCUUAACCAUAGUACGCUUUGGAAACUGUUUAACUUGAGUGCAAGAGGGGAGAGUGGAAUUCCAUGUGUAGCGGUGAAAUGCGUAGAUAUAUGGAGGAACACCGGUGGCGAAAGCGGCUCUCUGGCUUGUAACUGACGCUGAGGCUCGAAAGCGUGGGGAGCAAACAGGAUUAGAUACCCCGGUAGUCCCUGUCUCUUAUACA
This 301-nucleotide ribosomal RNA is filed under the name uncultured bacterium. RNAcentral describes it as "partial 16S ribosomal RNA". It matches the Rfam family "Bacterial small subunit ribosomal RNA", at positions 509 to 808 of the family's 1533-position model. The record is from RNAcentral.